GCCAGUGUGACGUAGUGGGUUUGAGUGUCGGACUAUGACUCUGGAGACCAGGGUUCAAUUCCCAGCUCAGCCA
Phrynosoma platyrhinos (Desert horned lizard) is the source of this 73-nucleotide non-coding RNA. Lineage: Eukaryota; Metazoa; Chordata; Lepidosauria; Squamata; Phrynosomatidae. The record is from the annotation of a GenBank genome assembly.